CCUACGGGGGGCUGCAGUGGGGAAUAUUGGACAAUGGGCGAAAGCCUGAUCCAGCCAUGCCGCGUGUGUGAAGAAGGCCUUCGGGUUGUAAAGCACUUUCAGUGGGGAAGAAAGCCUUGGGGCUAAUACCCUCGAGGAAGGACAUCACCCACAGAAGAAGCACCGGCUAACUCCGUGCCAGCAGCCGCGGUAAUACGGAGGGUGCGAGCGUUAAUCGGAAUUACUGGGCGUAAAGCGCGCGUAGGCGGUCUGAUAAGCCGGUUGUGAAAGCCCCGGGCUCAACCUGGGAACGGCAUCCGGAACUGUCAGGCUAGAGUGCAGGGGAGGAAGGUAGAAUUCCCGGUGUAGCGGUGAAAUGCGUAGAGAUCGGGAGGAAUACCAGUGGCGAAGGCGGCCUUCUGGACUGACACUGACGCUGAGGUGCGAAAGCGUGGGUAGCAAACAGGAUUAGAUACCCGGGUAGUC
RNAcentral lists this ribosomal RNA (465 nucleotides) under Vreelandella stevensii. RNAcentral describes it as "partial 16S ribosomal RNA". It matches the Rfam family "Bacterial small subunit ribosomal RNA", at positions 338 to 795 of the family's 1533-position model. The record is from RNAcentral. Lineage: Bacteria; Pseudomonadati; Pseudomonadota; Gammaproteobacteria; Oceanospirillales; Halomonadaceae.